AAGUCGUAACAAGGUUUCCGUAGGUGAACCUGCGGAAGGAUCAUUAACUAUAUGAGGGGAGGGCUGGGCUUCGGCCUGCCCCUCUCUGACUAUUCUACCCGUGUCUUUUGCGUACUAUUUGUUUCCUCGGUGGGCUUGCCCGCCGAUAGGACACUAUAAAAACCUUUUGUAAUUGCAGUCAGCGUCAGUAAAAACUUAAUAGUUACAA
Molecule: unclassified non-coding RNA, 208 nt
Filed under: plant metagenome
Description: partial contains small subunit ribosomal RNA and internal transcribed spacer 1
Rfam family: Eukaryotic small subunit ribosomal RNA (bases 1-46)
Source: RNAcentral